This 71-nucleotide transfer RNA is filed under the name Marmota marmota marmota (Alpine marmot). It matches the Rfam family "tRNA". Rfam says of the family: Transfer RNA (tRNA) molecules are approximately 80 nucleotides in length. Their secondary structure includes four short double-helical elements and three loops (D, anti-codon, and T loops). Further hydrogen bonds mediate the characteristic L-shaped molecular structure. tRNAs have two regions of fundamental functional importance: the anti-codon, which is responsible for specific mRNA codon recognition, and the 3' end, to which the tRNAs corresponding amino acid is attached (by aminoacyl-tRNA synthetases). tRNAs cope with the degeneracy of the genetic code in two manners: having more than one tRNA (with a specific anti-codon) for a particular amino acid; and 'wobble' base-pairing, i.e. permitting non-standard base-pairing at the 3rd anti-codon position. RNAcentral also lists the same sequence under 1 other name. The record is from Rfam by way of RNAcentral. Lineage: Eukaryota; Metazoa; Chordata; Mammalia; Rodentia; Sciuridae.
GUGGUUGUAGCUCAGUGGUAGAAUACUCACCUUCCAUGUGGAAGGCACUGAUUUCGAUCCUCAGCACCACA